CCUGAAGCCAGCCCAGGGGAUGACAGAGCAGCCUGAGGGAGCAAGAACUGUCACCACGGUCUGCCCGGGAAGCACUGAGAUGAUGCUGGGGUUGCAGUGAGCUGUCGAACUAGAUGUGUCAGAAAUGAGAAAGGAGAUGAGAGAACAAAUUAGAAUACAGAGUGAUCGACACUUUGAUGAAGGAAGGAGAUGGGGCCUGGGGUCCAUAAAACCUACUGCCAAACCAAUCCAGACAGACUCAGUGUGACAUUACAAGCAUCCUGGGUGGAACUGCAAGACAUAGUUAUUUCAAGAUUAUGAAGAGUGUGGUGGCCAACCUCCAAGAUAGCCCCAUGAUCCCUCCUCCAGGUACUCAUGCCCUUGUAUGGUAUGCUCCCACAAUCUUCUGAGGAUUUGGUUGUAUGACUGAUCGAAUACAGCAGAAGCGAUGGCAUAGGACAUCUGAGGCUACGUCAUCUAAGGGAUACACAGGAAUUCACUCCCAUCCUCCCAUGUGGCUUCUACUUUGCUCUUAAUCUCUCAGAUCUCUCACCCUGGGAGACACCAUCCACCAUGUCCUGAGGACACUCAAGCAGCUCUGUGCCCUCCUGACAAUAGCUGUUAGGUGAACCACCUUGGGUGCAGACCCUCUAGCCCCACUCCAGCCUUCAGAAGACAGCAGCCCUAGCUCACAUGGGACCCUGAGCCAGACCACCAAGCAAACCACUCCCAGAUUCCUGACCCACAGAAAUU
Molecule: non-coding RNA, 732 nt
Filed under: Pongo abelii (Sumatran orangutan)
Lineage: Eukaryota; Metazoa; Chordata; Mammalia; Primates; Hominidae
Source: RNAcentral